RNAcentral lists this long non-coding RNA (1839 nucleotides) under Heterocephalus glaber (naked mole-rat). RNAcentral's name for it is "lncRNA (ENSHGLG00000034495.1)". Lineage: Eukaryota; Metazoa; Chordata; Mammalia; Rodentia; Bathyergidae. The record is from RNAcentral.
CACAGCGAGGGUUAAGAACGGCCUCAUCUCGUGAUUCUCAACCUUGGCUGCAUACCCGAGUAUAAAACCUAUAGGAGACCAGAGCGCCUCCAGCAGCAGGACGAGUUGUUGCUUCUGAAGGCGCCGAUUGAAAACAAUGUACUUUGAGAAAGUCCUAGAUUCAGGCGGCCGAGGCCACGAAUCUGCAUUUUCCUACAGCGCGGUUCCGCCCCCGCUCCAGGAAGGUGGCGCGCGGGGCCGCGAGGGCACAGGCCCCGCCCACCAGGCGACAGGCGCUGACCCCCGGGGUUUGGCCUAAUUGGAGUUCGUGCUCAGGCUAGCUGGGACCUUCGUGAGACCCGGGGGGUUACCCUUCCUUGCAAGAUAUUAACGACACCCAACCGGGAGCAAGAAAGCCACCUACAUCUCCCGGGUGUUUACUUCCUUAAAUUGGGAGUUACUUAAGACGGCUGCGCCCCGAGCUUGCCCGAACCUGAGAAUCACGUGGGAGCCCUGUUCAACAGCCAGCCAGAAAGACAUAGAUAAAAGUACACAAUAGCGUUGUCUGGAAUUGUGCUGGGCCUUCCUCCCUGCUGGAGUCCUCUCCCUGUGAGCUACUUCAUGAUAUCUAGGUUGCUUCUGCUGCUCUCCACUGUGAAUACAGAAGUACAAAAAUCCAUGUUUAUCCAGCUACGAAUGACUCCCCAAAGAGUAGCGGGGAUCAAACUCGGGACCUUUCGCCUGCAAGGCAGGUGGUGGAACCACUGACCUAAAUCCUGGCCCUCAUCUGAACCCAUUUUGAGCCCACACUUGCCUCACUCAGCUCCACAUGCUGGAGAUAUGAAUGAAGUCCGAGCCAGACUGGACUCAGCCAGUGAAUGAAUAGCACACAAGGCCAUUCAGAGAGGGCCACCUCCAAGCCAUUCGUUUGUUCACCAAGGAUGAGUUGGGUUCCCACGGAGUGCAAGGGUGUGCUAACCUCUGGGAAUGCAGCUGCAAGUCUCUAAGGAAGGUGCCGAGCAAAAAGGGACAGAAGGCCGGAAUGUUUGUGUUCCUGCUGAACCUUAACCUCCAUGGUGAUAGUACUAAGGGGUGCGGCUCUUGGAGGUGCUGAGGUCUUAAGGAUGGAGCCUUCCUGAACGAGAUUCCUGCUCCUGUUAGAGAGGGCAGUGAGCGGCCUUGGCCUUGCACCAGGUGGGAUGCAGCUAGAAGGUGCCAUCUAUGAGAAAAUGGGUCUUCCCCAGACACAGACUGCUCUGCUGCCUCAUCUUGGACUUUCUAGUCUCCCAGGUCAUAAGCAAUGAUUUCUGUUGUCUAUAAGCCAUGCAGGCUAUGGCACUUUGUCACAGCAGCCUGAAUGGACAAAGACACCUGCUUUCCUCCUACUAAACCUUAGCCACACACAGCUUGCAGGGUGGUUCUGGAAGAUACUCAAUGGCUCCUGGACUGUGAAGCAGCCAAGCCAACAACAGCAGAGGAGGUGGCCAGGACAAUGUGGAUGGAAAGAGUGGACAUUCACACCUGGCACGCCACAUGCCAAGGGCUACAUUAGAACACAUCACAUAUGUGUUUAUCUGACCGGAAUCUGGCUCCCUUAACCACUGUGAGCCUGUUCCCUCAUGUGUAAAAUGAGAAUGAUAAUCCUACUCACCUACUGACCUUGAAUGGUUUUUGUGAGUAUUAAAAGGAAAUGCACGUGAAGGGCUUGAGAAAAAGUAAAUAAUCAAGAGAAUUAGUUAUCAUUAUUGUUAUUGGCAGUCAGCUACCAACUGCUCUUUAAAAUAUAAUCAGAAUUAUUUUUAUUGCUUUUAUUGAACACAUACAUUGUUCUAAGCAUGCUGGAGAUGCACUGGUGAGGAG